This 74-nucleotide transfer RNA is filed under the name Felis catus (domestic cat). It matches the Rfam family "tRNA". From Rfam's summary of the family: Transfer RNA (tRNA) molecules are approximately 80 nucleotides in length. Their secondary structure includes four short double-helical elements and three loops (D, anti-codon, and T loops). The record is from Rfam by way of RNAcentral. Lineage: Eukaryota; Metazoa; Chordata; Mammalia; Carnivora; Felidae. RNAcentral also lists the same sequence under 3 other names.
GCCUGGCUGGCUCAGUCAGUGGGAGCGCGCGACUCUUGAUCUCGGGGUUGUGAGUUCAAGCCCCACGUUGGGUG